Molecule: ribosomal RNA, 1314 nt
Filed under: metagenome
Description: bacterial LSU rRNA
Rfam family: Bacterial large subunit ribosomal RNA
Source: RNAcentral
GUCCAUGCUUCCAAGAAAAGCAUCUAGAGAGAGAAGUAGUGCCCGUACCGCCAACCGACACAGGUAGAUGAGGAGAGAAUCCUAAGGCCGGCGGAAGAAUUGCAGUUAAGGAACUAGGCAAAUUGACCCCGUAAGUUAGCGAGAAGGGGUGCCUGCGAGAGCAGGCCGCAGAGAAUAGGCCCAAGCAACUGUUUAGCAAAAACACAGGUCUCUGCUAAAGCGCAAGCUGAUGUAUAGGGGCUGACGCCUGCCCGGUGCUGGAAGGUUAAGGGGAACACUUAGCGCAAGCGAAGGUGUGAACUUAAGCCCCAGUAAACGGCGGCCGUAACUAUAACGGUCCUAAGGUAGCGAAAUUCCUUGUCAGGUAAGUUCUGACCCGCACGAAUGGCGUAAUGACUUGGGCACUGUCUCAACUGCAAAUCCGGCGAAGUUGUAGUGCGAGUGAAGAUGCUCGCUACCCGCGAUUGGACGGAAAGACCCCGUAGAGCUUUACUGUAGCUUAGCAUUGAAUUCCGGUAUUGUCUGUACAGGAUAGGUGGGAGACUGGGAAACUAGGGCGUCAGCCUUGGUGGAGUCGUCCUUGGGAUACCACCCUGACAGUACUGGGGUUCUAACAGGACGCCAUGAAUCUGGUGACUGGACAUUGUUAGGUGGGCAGUUUGACUGGGGCGGUCGCCUCCUAAAAAGUAACGGAGGCGCCCAAAGGUUCCCUCAGAACGGUCGGAAAUCGUUCGUAGAGUGCAAAGGCAGAAGGGAGCCUGACUGCGAGACCUACAAGUCGAGCAGGGACGAAAGUCGGGCUUAGUGAUCCGGUGGUACCUCGUGGGAGGGCCAUCGCUCAACGGAUAAAAGCUACCUCGGGGAUAACAGGCUGAUCUCCCCCAAGAGUCCACAUCGACGGGGAGGUUUGGCACCUCGAUGUCGGCUCGUCGCAUCCUGGGGCUGUAGUAGGUCCCAAGGGUUGGGCUGUUCGCCCAUUAAAGCGGCACGCGAGCUGGGUUCAGAACGUCGUGAGACAGUUCGGUCCCUAUCCGUCGCGGGCGUAGGAAAUUUGAGAGGAGCUGUCCUUAGUACGAGAGGACCGGGAUGGACUGACCUCUGGUGCACCAGUUGUUCUGCCAAGAGCAUGGCUGGGUAGCUAAGUCGGGAAGGGAUAAACGCUGAAAGCAUCUAAGCGUGAAGCCUCCCUCAAGAUGUGAUUUCCCAUAGCAUAAGCUAGUAAGACCCCUUGAAGAACACGAGGUUGUUAGGUCAGAGGUGUAAGUGUGGUAACAUAUUAGCUGACUGAUACUAAUAGGUCGAGGGCUUGACCAG